UUUAAGUUAAAAAAAAAAAAAUUUAGUGGACAUGUGUCACUAGCUAACCUAAUGGUGCCACCUAAAUUUGCUCUAAGGAUGACACCUAGCAUUUUUCAUGCAUGCUUGCCACCUUGAAACUUUGCAACUCUUGUGUUAACCAAAAGUAAUUAAAUAAGAGAUUAAAGGAGAAACUAAAUGUAACCUUCAGAUGCUGCAUCCAACGUGAGUUUAAGAAGAGAAGAGAAGGGAAGAAGAAGAAGAAGAGGA
This 249-nucleotide long non-coding RNA is filed under the name Musa acuminata (dwarf banana). RNAcentral's name for it is "long non-coding RNA (MACU_LNC011666)". Lineage: Eukaryota; Viridiplantae; Streptophyta; Magnoliopsida; Zingiberales; Musaceae. The record is from RNAcentral.